This 679-nucleotide long non-coding RNA is filed under the name Equus asinus (donkey). RNAcentral's name for it is "lncRNA (ENSEASG00005024411.1)". Lineage: Eukaryota; Metazoa; Chordata; Mammalia; Perissodactyla; Equidae. The record is from RNAcentral.
CGGUUGCGUAGGAGAGUUAUCAUAGGAGAGAGGGGACUGGUGGGGCAGCAGAAUCCUCUUUUACUUUGCAAGUUUUAGAGUACUAUUUGGCUUUUAAAGCCACUUAAUUAAAAAAAGAAAAGAAAAGAAAAAGGAGAACCCUUAGUGACCCUUAGUAACUGGGAAGCCGAGAUUUCUCAGCAGGCUUCCCCACUUACUAGCUGUGUGAUCUUGGGCAAGUCACUCCAUCCUCUGAAACGCUGGUUUACUCAUCUGUUAAAGGAAGCUUCACCCACCCACUGAGUUGCUGUAAGGUUUGGUGACAAGCUUUGACUGCUGUUAAGAAGAGAUACCUAUUAAGAAAAGACUCAAGAGGGCCAAGGUGAAAACAAGGAGACCAGUUGGAGGCUAUAGCGAUAAUCCAGCUCUCAGACUCCCCAAGAGAGCAUCUCAGGACCCUGGAGCUUCUCUUUGCUCUUUCCCAAACUGGUUCAUGAGCACCACAAUGGGGCCAAGUGUUUCUCCAACAUGGGUGAGCAAGGUGGGACGCCUGCCACAGCAUGGCUUGAUAAGCAGUGCAUAGGUCCGCGUCUAGGAUCUGAACCUGUGAACCCUGGGCCAGCGAAGCAGAGCCUGCAAACUUAACCACCACACCACUAGGCUGGCCCCUGAUUUUUAAAAAUACUUGUGAUAGGAGUAG